Molecule: ribosomal RNA, 253 nt
Filed under: uncultured bacterium
Lineage: Bacteria
Description: partial 16S ribosomal RNA
Rfam family: Bacterial small subunit ribosomal RNA
Source: RNAcentral
UACGUAGGGUGCAAGCGUUAAUCGGAAUUACUGGGCGUAAAGCGUGCGCAGGCGGUUCUAUAAGACAGAUGUGAAAUCCCCGGGCUCAACCUGGGAACUGCAUUUGUGACUGUAGAGCUGGAGUACGGCAGAGGGGGAUGGAAUUCCGCGUGUAGCAGUGAAAUGCGUAGAUAUGCGGAGGAACACCGAUGGCGAAGGCAAUCCCCUGGGCCUGUACUGACGCUCAUGCGCGAAAGCGUGGGGAGCAAACAGG